This 69-nucleotide transfer RNA is filed under the name Duringlanis perugiae. RNAcentral's name for it is "tRNA-His". It matches the Rfam family "tRNA". From Rfam's summary of the family: Transfer RNA (tRNA) molecules are approximately 80 nucleotides in length. Their secondary structure includes four short double-helical elements and three loops (D, anti-codon, and T loops). The record is from RNAcentral. Lineage: Eukaryota; Metazoa; Chordata; Actinopteri; Siluriformes; Auchenipteridae.
GUAGAUAUAGUUUAACAAAGACAUUAGAUUGUGGUUCUAAAAAUAGGGGUUAGACUCCCCUUAUCCACC